GAGAGAGAGAGAGAGAAUGAGAGGAGGGGUGGGGGAAUGGAUGAAAGAAUGGGUGUUUUUCGACUUUGCAAAGUAUUCUCAAUGGGAGUAUUGUUUGCUGUUUGCCAAAAAUGACAACGUCGUAAGCAGAAGGGGAAGUUGAAGCCCACAUUUUAAAUCUUAAAUUGCUAUCAUAUUUUAACUACAUUUCUAUCAAAUGGUUUCUGAUAUUUUUAUUUGAUAAACUAAUGAAUAUGUCGGCUAAGAAAAUUUUGUUCCAACUUCCUAUAUCUUUCACUUAAGGCAUUAAUAAUUAUUUGUAAUUACUAACUUAAUAAGGUGAUAUAUAUCAUUGUUUGAACCUUAGAUUUACCACUUAUUUCGUUAGUAGUUAUGUCACUUCAGCAAUGUACUUAUGUACUCCAGCCUUGGUUUACUCUUCUGUCAAAUAAAUGUGAAAAGAUUUUUGUGGCUCAUAGAUUUUUGUGAAAAUCAAAUUAUAUAUUAAAAUACCAAAUACCUUGUUUAUAUUACCAGCCAAUCAAUGUCACUUUAUUUCUUCUAAUUAUUCUCUCCUCAGUUAAUGAUAUAAAGUAACAACAGAUGAACAAUGAUAGAUAAUGGGGAUAAGAAAGUAAAGAACCUACCCAUAUGUGUGUAAUUCAGAUAUGGCAAUAAGUGCCAACAUAAUGGAAUUCAGUUCAGUUAAAUAAUUUAUACAAUUAUAAGACUAGAGUGAAGGGGAGAGCCGUGGAAAAAAAAGGGGAAAAGAUAAUAAUUUACAUGUAUCAUCAGACAUUUAGUAGAGCCCUGAACAUAUACUUUUAAAAGAGUAAAGCUGUGAAUCAAUCAUUAAUUACUUUCAUAGAAGGAGAGAAUACAUUGCCCAUUUUUGAUAGAGUCAUUAGAUCUUUCCAAUGAGCAAUAUCUAUCUGCACCUGGUAAAUUAUUUUUGUCUGGUGCUUUAUUUGUGAUAGGUUCAUCUGCUAUUUCAGAAAAUGCCAAGCUGAGUCUGUGUUUUCCUUUGUAAACAACCACACCACAAGUGCCACUAUACAAGACGCGAAGGCACAGGGCCUAGCUCUCGUACACUCCUUUAGCUCAGAAAUUAUAUCUUUUAAAAAUUAUGCCUUUUUAAUGGUAUCAAAUGUUAGAACUUUUGAAGUCCUUUUAUUUUAGCAUUGGGUCUGAUAAACACAGUUACAUUUUAAUGUCCUUAAGACAGUCCAAAGAAAAGAAGCAAAGGUUCCAAAACACAGGAAAUUAUUUCCUAAGACAAAAAAAAAAGUAAGAAAUAAAAUUGGCUUAGCUUAGAAAACUUAUUUUCUAAAUAUAACACCUAAAAUGUUUUAUAUAUUUUAAAAAUUAUGUUUCAUAUUCAGAUAAGUCUGAUCGAAGAAAAUAUGAGUUGGAAUUAGAAUAAACAAAAAAGUACCUUAAAACUCUUUAAUGUUUCAGCAAAGAAGACCAGGAUAUGCUACUUGUAAAUAAGGAUCAAAAACAAAGGCAAAUGAUUUAAAAUACAGACAGUUCUGAUCUUGACUAUGCAUAUGUCUAGCUAAAGCUGUUCCAACUAUUGGAAGUGAUAUUUAGGAAACUACUUUUGCAGAUUAUUAUUUCAUUAUUAAUUUGUUAGUCUGGAAGAUUCAGAAAAAAAUCAUAUGUAUAAGAAUUCAAAAUGAUAUGAAGAGCAAGAGAUGUGGGGAUAACGGAGAUACAAAGAACUUAGAAGAAGAAAGGGAUAGGAAUGUUGGUAUGCCUUAAUUUCCAAAACCUUCUGCAAAACUGCUCCGGGAGCCAACUUUCCAUGCAUUGGGUUUCUUCAUUUAUUUUCUUUUUUACCUACCUGUUCUACAUUUUCACAAAAAUUUUUUCAGUCACUGAAGAUUAUCAAAUCAAUCAAGAUUUACAUUUACAACUGCAGAGGUGAACCUGACUUUUUCAUGGAGUGGGUCAAACUAAACAUUUUUAAGAGUUGUCCAGGCUACUUAAUUUGAAAAGUAGUUGACAAUGGCAUGUUUUUGUGUAAGUUAAUGAUGUGAGAAAUAUGCACUGUAUCCUGGGCUAUUUCAGCAUUCAGAAUAGUUCUUCACUAGCAGAAUUUCUAAUAAAUUUCUUUUACUUAUUCCAUGACGCAUCAAUUUAGUUAUUCCAAAUAACUCAAGGUCAACUAUAUGCUGGUCAGGGGCCUGAAUUCUUCAAAUAAGACAGAGUUUCUUAACCAGCAAAGUGAUUGAACAAAUGGAGAAAAGUAAUGUCAGUAGAAAACUAAAUUUGUUUCUUACCUAGUCUAUAUACAAAAAAAAAAAGAGAAUCAAGGAAAAUGAGCUGCAGUGGUAAUGGUGACCUGCCAAGGUCCUCAAUGUUCAAAUUUAUUUUGUCCCUUUCUUUCCUUUGUUUCCUUUUCAACCACUUGCUGGGCUGAUAAUUCCAAGACUCUGGCAGAGAAAGUGAUCUUUGGGAGUCUGUUGCCGUGAAUAUGUAUUUGUUGUCACUGUCGUUUUGGACAGGUAAAAAAA
Long non-coding RNA from Sapajus apella (tufted capuchin), 2498 nucleotides. RefSeq lists it as uncharacterized. The record is from RefSeq and is a predicted model, not a curated record. Lineage: Eukaryota; Metazoa; Chordata; Mammalia; Primates; Cebidae. The transcript is spliced from 3 exons.